This 72-nucleotide transfer RNA is filed under the name Malawimonas californiana (nom. ined.). RNAcentral's name for it is "Malawimonas californiana tRNA-Val". It matches the Rfam family "tRNA". From Rfam's summary of the family: Transfer RNA (tRNA) molecules are approximately 80 nucleotides in length. Their secondary structure includes four short double-helical elements and three loops (D, anti-codon, and T loops). The record is from RNAcentral. Lineage: Eukaryota; Malawimonada; Malawimonadea; Malawimonadida; Malawimonadidae.
AGGUAAUUAGCUUAAUGGUAGAGUAUCUCGCUUACAUCGAGAAUGUUAAUGGUUCAAAUCCGUUAUUACCUA